RNAcentral lists this ribosomal RNA (440 nucleotides) under uncultured bacterium. Its description in RNAcentral is "partial 16S ribosomal RNA". It matches the Rfam family "Bacterial small subunit ribosomal RNA", at positions 338 to 795 of the family's 1533-position model. The record is from RNAcentral.
CCUACGGGUGGCAGCAGUGGGGAAUAUUGGACAAUGGGGGGAACCCUGAUCCAGCGACGCCGCGUGAGUGAAGAAGUAUUUCGGUAUGUAAAGCUCUAUCAGCAGGGAAGAAAAUGACGGUACCUGACUAAGAAGCCCCGGCUAACUACGGGCCAGCAGCCGCGGUAAUAAGGAGGGGGCAAGCGUUAUCCGGAUUUACUGGGGGUAAAGGGAGCGUAGACGGGGGAGCAAGGCAGAUGUGAAAGGUCGGGGCCCAACCCCGGGACUGCAUUGGAAACUGUUGAACUGGAGUACAGGAGAGGUAAGCGGAAUUCCUAGUGUAGCGGUGAAAUGCGUAGAUAGUAGGAGGAACACCAGUGGCGAAGGCGGAUUGCUGGACUGUAACUGACGUUGAGGCUCGAAAGCGUGGGGAGCAAACAGGAUUAGAUACCCUUGUAGUC